This 448-nucleotide ribosomal RNA is filed under the name uncultured bacterium. RNAcentral's name for it is "bacterial SSU rRNA". It matches the Rfam family "Bacterial small subunit ribosomal RNA", at positions 328 to 793 of the family's 1533-position model. The record is from RNAcentral.
UGCCAGAACUCCUACGGGAGGCAGCAGUGGGGAAUAUUGCACAAUGGGGGAAACCCUGAUGCAGCGACGCCGCGUGAGCGAUGAAGUCUUUCGGUAUGUAAAGCUCUAUCAGCAGGGAAGAAAAUGACGGUACCUGACUAAGAAGCCCCGGCUAACUACGUGCCAGCAGCCGCGGUAAUACGUAGGGGGCAAGCGUUAUCCGGAUUUACUGGGUGUAAAGGGAGCGUAGACGGCCAUUCAAGCCAGAUGUGAAAGCCCGGGGCUCAACCCCGGGACUGCAUUUGGAACUGUGUGGCUAGAGUGUCGGAGAGGCAGGCGGAAUUCCUAGUGUAGCGGUGAAAUGCGUAGAUAUUAGGAGGAACACCAGUGGCGAAGGCGGCCUGCUGGACGAUGACUGACGUUGAGGCUCGAAAGCGUGGGGAGCAAACAGGAUUAGAUACCCUCGUAC